This 254-nucleotide ribosomal RNA is filed under the name uncultured bacterium. RNAcentral's name for it is "partial 16S ribosomal RNA". It matches the Rfam family "Bacterial small subunit ribosomal RNA", at positions 524 to 776 of the family's 1533-position model. The record is from RNAcentral.
CACGUAGGGACCAAGCGUUGUCCGGAUUCAUUGGGCGUAAAGAGCUCGUAGGCGGUUCGAUAAGUCAGGUGUGAAACCUCCAGGCUCAACCUGGAGACGCCACCCGAUACUGUCGUGACUAGAGUCCAGUAGGGGAGCGUGGAAUUCCUGGUGUAGCGGUGAAAUGCGCAGAUAUCAGGAGGAACACCAGCGGCGAAGGCGGCGCUCUGGGCUGGAACUGACGCUGAGGAGCGAAAGCGUGGGGAGCGAACAGG